RNAcentral lists this long non-coding RNA (744 nucleotides) under Anser brachyrhynchus (Pink-footed goose). RNAcentral's name for it is "lncRNA (ENSABRG00000018037.1)". The record is from RNAcentral. Lineage: Eukaryota; Metazoa; Chordata; Aves; Anseriformes; Anatidae.
GGAGAGAGGACAAGUAACAGGAAGGAAGAAAUGAGAAAAGUUAUCCUCUUAGCUUGCAGAGAAAAACAAAGCUUUCCAUGAUGCUGAGGUUUCAACACAUGGCAUUAGCUUGAGCAUUGUGGGAGCUGCUGUGAUUACAGCCUAUUGGUUCUUUAGGGGUGGACUUUUAUGGUCAAAAAAUGUGAGAUUAAGAAGGAAUUUGUGAGGUUGUGUCUGCAUGGUGCAAGAAAGCAAAUACCAUUCAUACUCAGUAGACUAAAAUGUGGAUGGUUUCACCAGGGCACCUUUGAGAUGGGCUGCCUGUGGCAGAAGAUUAAAAUUCACCAGCUGGGAACGAAGUCACGAAGUUGCAAAGAACCUAUCAUGCCAACUGAAAUCCAAGGUCAAGUUGUUGUUGACUUCAGUAGAUACCAAAUCCUAAAACGUUGUCAGCUUUUGGAAAUGGAUAGUUUUGUUGUCAUCCAUUUACAGGAAAACUGUGGUCUUUCCUGCUAAUCUGUAAUGUUUCUUCCACCAGUACUAUGACAAUAUCAUGAAAUGUCUCUAUACCGUUGUCCAUUUAAAUUUUAUGGAUAGAAAUAUACUUUGAUCUAGUUUAUUAAUGUUUUCAGUCAUUUGAUACAGGUCUACCCUUUUUCUAAAACAGUGAAUUAGUAUUUAUAAUGCACUAAUUGUCUUUAAAACUUUUGUUUUGAAGGACAUUCUUGAGUGGCAAUCUCCUAGUUACAUCGAAAUGGUGUUGUU